GCGAACUGAACUUAAGGAAAGUCUUGAGAAGAUGGGUUCAUCUCUUUCUUGGGAGCAUAUAACUAAUCAGAUAGGAAUGUUCUGCUAUACUGGAUUGACCCCGGAACAGGUUGAUCGCUUGACAGAAGAGUUCCACAUUUAUUUGACCCGCAAUGGUCGGAUCAGCAUGGCUGGUGUCAACACAGGCAAUGUUGUGUACUUGGCUAAUGCUAUCCAUGAGGUCACAAAAUCGACAUGAGUUUAUAUCUAAACUAGUUUGGUAGUGAGAAACCUGAGAUUUAUCUGGUUCUGAGGCUUUUUUCUUAUACUUUAUCAAUUGUUUUCUAUGAAUAAAUGGAUCGGUGGGUCGUGGCUCGAGCAUAGCUUCAUUUUUUUUGCAAGUCUG
This 385-nucleotide unclassified non-coding RNA is filed under the name Hevea brasiliensis (rubber tree). The record is from RNAcentral. Lineage: Eukaryota; Viridiplantae; Streptophyta; Magnoliopsida; Malpighiales; Euphorbiaceae.